UUAAAAUAAGUUCUCCUAACUCUUCUUUAGACCUUCAUUCAGAUAAGGUUAGAGUCAUUUAAACUGCUUGAUUCAUCAUUCCUUUGCUUGCAAAUGUUUUCUUGUUGCCAACGUUUCCAGAUGCUGUUCAGGUCACUCUCGUACUUAGUUUCAAGAGCUUGUUGGAACAUCUUAUUCCCUACAGAGCCUCUGAGGUUUUGUUGUAUUUGAAAAAUCAAAAGUAUACGAUUGGAUUCCCUAACAAAAUGUACACAGGAAAACUGAGGACAUCUCAGCAACUGUCUGAAGAUAAAAAGAUGCCAGCUAACCCUAAAUCCUGCUGUGCAGAUGAAUAGCAGAAACAUUGCUUGUGAUUUUGAUAUUCCAUCUGUAAAUAACAGACACUUUUGGAGGCCACAUAUGAUUUAAUCCCAGAAUCUCAAACUUCCAUCUGUGCUGAGCAGAUUCCUGAGUCUGUGCCUCCAUCACGGAAGCUGCACUACAGAGCAUCUGGUCCAACCUGGUUCCUGAGUGUGUGCAGGCUGCUCCUUGCACUGCAGUUUUCCCUGGAGUCGUUUGAACCCAUCAUCCCUUGUCCUAUCACUACAGUCCCUGAUGAAGAGUCCCUCUCCAGCACCCUUGGAGCCCCCUUCAGACACUGGAAGCUGCUCUGAGGUCUCCACGCAACUUCUCCAGGCUGAACAGCCCCAAUGUUCUCAGCUUGUCUUCAUACAAGAGGUGCUGCAGCCCUUCAUCAUCCUCACAUAUGUACUUGGUAUCAAGGUGGAAGCCUGAGAGUUGCUGUAAUUGCUCUGGACUUCACACAUCUUCAGUGCAAUAUGAAUUGACAUUUUGGUCAGUUGAGCAAUGCAUCUGUAUCCUGUGUGCUUGUGAUUAAAGAUGCAUAUGCUUUUGACAAGAGAUGAUUAAAUUCAGCCAGAUGAUUGCAA
Molecule: long non-coding RNA, 929 nt
Organism: Strigops habroptila (Kakapo)
Lineage: Eukaryota; Metazoa; Chordata; Aves; Psittaciformes; Psittacidae
Exons: 2
Source: RefSeq, a predicted model, not a curated record